This 295-nucleotide ribosomal RNA is filed under the name Yersinia pestis. RNAcentral's name for it is "partial 23S ribosomal RNA". It matches the Rfam family "Bacterial large subunit ribosomal RNA", at positions 1848 to 2151 of the family's 2925-position model. Lineage: Bacteria; Pseudomonadati; Pseudomonadota; Gammaproteobacteria; Enterobacterales; Yersiniaceae. The record is from RNAcentral.
GGGUGUGACGCCUGCCCGGUGCUGGAAGGUUAAUUGAAGAUGUGAGAGCAUCGGAUCGAAGCCCCAGUAAACGGCGGCCGUAACUAUAACGGUCCUAAGGUAGCGAAAUUCCUUGUCGGGUAAGUUCCGACCCGCACGAAUGGCGUAACGAUGGCCACACUGUCUCCUCCCGAGACUCAGCGAAGUUGAAGUGGUUGUGAAGAUGCAAUCUACCCGCUGCUAGACGGAAAGACCCCGUGAACCUUUACUGUAGCUUUGCAUUGGACUUUGAAGUCACUUGUGUAGGAUAGGUGGG